UUUUGAGGCUUAUCUUUAAACCUCCCAACUCGACCCCCUAGCUGGUUCUUAUCAUGUUUGAGCUGAAGAAUAGGCUGAGUUGGAGGGUUUUGGAGCUGCUAUAGAAGGGUGAAAAGGAGAGUUUUGGGAAGCAUUUCUCAGUUCUAACUCAGCUAGAAAUUGAGUUAAAGCUUGUUGAGCUGAUUUGGGGGAGGUUUGUAGCAGCUAUAGAAGAGGUGUUUUGGCUGUGAUUCUUCAAUCCUAACUCAGUUGAAACUGAGUUGAAGUUGUGAAAGGUUGGUUUUGAUGUACUCCAACUUGAAUUGAAGUGGAGCUCAAAUUUGGGACUCUAUACGAGGGUACUUGGAGGCUAGCGAACACCUUCGCUUGCGAGAUCGAUGAGAGUCGUCGACUAUUUGGGUCGCGCCCUACAAUUCGGCACUCCGGAGUUGGCCUACGCUACAGCAGAUCGCUUGUAUGAGACUGAGCGUCGAAGUCGAUUGCCGUGGGUAGUGUUAACUUCCACGGGGCCAUUAGGCAUGGCACGAGCCAGGACUUUACCAAGUAGCCUUCCGCAGUGGGAAAGGCUAGGGUUCCUAGCAAGGGGUCAGCAGCUAGCUAGAACCUCGUCGGUGUUAAAUAGAUGAACUGAUGCAAGCUUAUUUUAGUUUAGUUCAGAGAUGUAUAUUGGGACUGUUAGAAUGUACUUUAUACUUUACUUUUAAGUUGUAUUUUGGUUUUAUGUUGAUAUAAGCUUUUGAACUUUUAAGGUUUGCUCUGAUUACCCGGUUAAGAUAUUAUGCUUUUACUAUGUGGAUUGUAGACGCCUGGUAUACACUAGAGGUGGUGGUGUAUACGGCGGGUCUGUGCACGCGACUGGUGAGCUUUCGCUGAAGUGUAGGGCGUGACAAAAUUAAUUUUAAAGCUAUUCCUUUUUGA
Molecule: long non-coding RNA, 918 nt
Organism: Ananas comosus (pineapple)
Lineage: Eukaryota; Viridiplantae; Streptophyta; Magnoliopsida; Poales; Bromeliaceae
Exons: 7
Source: RefSeq, a predicted model, not a curated record